RNAcentral lists this ribosomal RNA (505 nucleotides) under uncultured bacterium. RNAcentral describes it as "partial 16S ribosomal RNA". It matches the Rfam family "Bacterial small subunit ribosomal RNA", at positions 28 to 507 of the family's 1533-position model. The record is from RNAcentral.
GACGAACGCUGGCGGCGUGCCUAAUACAUGCAAGUAGAACGCACAGUUUAUACCGUAGCUUGCUACACCAUAGACUGUGAGUUGCGAACGGGUGAGUAACGCGUAGGUAACCUGCCUGGUAGCGGGGGAUAACUAUUGGAAACGAUAGCUAAUACCGCAUAAUAUUGAUUAUUGCAUGAUAAUUGAUUGAAGGAUGCUAUUGCAUCACUACCAGAUGGACCUGCGUUGUAUUAGCUAGUAGGUGAGGUAACGGCUCACCUAGGCGACGAUACAUAGCCGACCUGAGAGGGUGAUCGGCCACACUGGGACUGAGACACGGCCCAGACUCCUACGGGAGGCAGCAGUAGGGAAUCUUCGGCAAUGGACGAAAGUCUGACCGAGCAACGCCGCGUGAGUGAAGAAGGUUUUCGGAUCGUAAAGCUCGGUUGUAAGAGAAGAACGGGUGUGAGAGUGGAAAGUUCACACUGUGACGGUAUCUUACCAGAAAGGGACGGCUAACUACGUG